ACAUCGAGGCAUAUUCCA
Molecule: small RNA, 18 nt
Filed under: Arabidopsis thaliana (thale cress)
Lineage: Eukaryota; Viridiplantae; Streptophyta; Magnoliopsida; Brassicales; Brassicaceae
Description: ATSL062160
Source: RNAcentral